UGUAACAAGCUAUCUCACGUUCAUGUAAUAUUCCUUUUAUUUAUCUAGAAAGACUCCUUAGAACGUCCAAAUCAAUAUCGAGUUUCCUUAUUGAAAGCUUGAAGUUUCUCCUACGUUCCUCUUCCUUCUAUUCCUUCCUCUUGCCUCUCUAGCUCUCUCUCUCUAAAAAUUGUUUUGGUGAAUGGGAAAAUGAAGAUGAAGUGAUGAAAGAGUGGUGGAAAGGGCCCUAUUUAUAGAAAAAGGGAGUCAUUGGAUUUAUGCCAAGUGGU
This 269-nucleotide long non-coding RNA is filed under the name Carica papaya (papaya). RNAcentral's name for it is "long non-coding RNA (CPAP_LNC004496)". Lineage: Eukaryota; Viridiplantae; Streptophyta; Magnoliopsida; Brassicales; Caricaceae. The record is from RNAcentral.